AUGGCCGUCAUCGCCGCUGCUCACACGCGUGGACACCGUCCUCGAAUCGCCUCCGCGGCGUGUCCAGGAGGAUUGCCGUUGUCCGCUACGGCCCCUGCACCACCGGAUUGGAGCCGGGAGCCGCCGCCGUUCGACCCGCUCCGGCUUCACAAAGCUGCUCCUCGUCACCGAUACUUCGAGACCGCCGCCGCCGCCGCUGCCCCGAUCGACUACGGUGUUGACGACCCAUCCUUCUCUACCGAGCUUCCAGAUGCUGGAGCCCAGGAGCCAAACGCCACCGAUGACGACCCCUACUACACCGAGGGUGCCUACAACUACGUUCAGGCCACCGACGACCAGGAGUAG
RNAcentral lists this ribosomal RNA (345 nucleotides) under Triticum aestivum (bread wheat). Its description in RNAcentral is "partial small subunit ribosomal RNA". Lineage: Eukaryota; Viridiplantae; Streptophyta; Magnoliopsida; Poales; Poaceae. The record is from RNAcentral.